RNAcentral lists this unclassified non-coding RNA (683 nucleotides) under Hevea brasiliensis (rubber tree). The record is from RNAcentral. Lineage: Eukaryota; Viridiplantae; Streptophyta; Magnoliopsida; Malpighiales; Euphorbiaceae.
AAACCUCAAAAUUCAAGCAACCUUUGGUUUCUAGGAUUCACAUCCUGACAAAUUUGUUGACAAGAUUAGCUUUUGUUGAUAUACGGUUGCUUUGCCUAUAAAUCAGUCCAAAAGAAUUACAAUGACCACUCUUUCCAGCUACCUUCAGCUUAGAAACAUCAUCCCCUUUGUCCUCUACUGCAACAGAUCUGUCCGUUGAGUUUACAUGGAAAUUCAACAUGAGUUUCGGUAUCUCAUCGAUGCACAUCAUGCAUUGUCAAAGGAAUGUGUGAAUUCCAAGGAAAUUAUGAACCUUGAUUUGUCAAUGUCAACAACGACAGAAUCAGUAUGCAUCUUCAGAAUCCCUGACACUGUAGCCAAAACGAAAAAGCCUAUGUUCCCGUUGGAUUCUCAAUUGUGCAAUUGCAUUACCGCAAUCCAAACCUACGUGCCAAUGAUAAAUUGAAAAUACGGUAUGUGCUAGAUCUCAUUUCCAAAGACAAGAACCCAAUGGAUGCAAUGACGCAGUUGUCAGACGAUGGAUUGCGCAACUUAAAUCGGAAUCUCAGCUCCGACGUUCGGGACUGAUAUUCCAGCCCGUUUCAUGGGGAAGGACUUGACAAAUAUCAUGAUGGUUAUCAUCUAAUUUUCGAUGGUUGCUUUAUCAUCGAAUUUCUUCAUAAGUUCCAGGAUCAGAACCGUAG